Molecule: ribosomal RNA, 301 nt
Filed under: uncultured bacterium
Lineage: Bacteria
Description: partial 16S ribosomal RNA
Rfam family: Bacterial small subunit ribosomal RNA
Source: RNAcentral
CAGCAGCCACGGUAAUACGUAGGGUGCGAGCGUUAAUCGGAAUUACUGGGCGUAAAGCGUACGCAGGCAGUUAUAUAAGACAGAUGUGAAAUCCCCGGGCUCAACCUGGGACCUGCAUUUGUGACUGUAUAGCUAGAGUACGGUAGAGGGGGAUGGAAUUCCGCGUGUAGCAGUGAAAUGCGUAGAUAUGUGGAGGAAUACCGAUGGCGAAGGCAGCCCCCUGGGAUAACACUGACGCUCAUGCACGAAAGCGUGGGGAGUAAACAGGAUUAGAUACCCCCGUAGUCCCUGUCUCUUAUAC